AUCUUCAGGGAUUUGUGAAAUUCAAUACCGGCGGUAAAGCCCGCGAGCCUUUAUGGCAUGAUUCGGUGUAACUCCGAAGCCGACAGUAAAGUCUGGAUGUGAGAAGAUU
Molecule: non-coding RNA, 109 nt
Filed under: human gut metagenome
Description: FMN riboswitch (RFN element)
Rfam family: FMN riboswitch aptamer (RFN element)
About the family: The RFN element is a highly conserved domain that is found frequently in the 5'-untranslated regions of prokaryotic mRNAs that encode for flavin mononucleotide (FMN) biosynthesis and transport proteins. This element is a metabolite-dependent riboswitch that directly binds FMN in the absence of proteins.
Source: RNAcentral